GGAGCUGUAGCUCAGUGGUAGAGCUUGCCUAGCAUGCAUGAGGCACUGGGUUCAAUCCACAGCACCA
This 67-nucleotide transfer RNA is filed under the name Marmota monax (woodchuck). RNAcentral describes it as "tRNA.Ala". The record is from RNAcentral. Lineage: Eukaryota; Metazoa; Chordata; Mammalia; Rodentia; Sciuridae.